ACUCCUACGGGAGGCAGCAGUGGGGAAUAUUGCACAAUGGGAAACCCGUAGCAUGCAGCCAUGCCGCGUGUGUGAAGAAGGCCUUCGGGUUGUAAAGCACUUUCAGCGAGGAGGAAAGGUUAGUAGUUAAUACCUGCUAGCUGUGACGUUACUCGCAGAAGAAGCACCGGCUAACUCCGUGCCAGCAGCCGCGGUAAUACGGAGGGUGCGAGCGUUAAUCGGAAUUACUGGGCGUAAAGCGUGCGCAGGCGGUUUGUUAAGCGAGAUGUGAAAGCCCG
This 278-nucleotide ribosomal RNA is filed under the name uncultured bacterium. RNAcentral's name for it is "partial 16S ribosomal RNA". It matches the Rfam family "Bacterial small subunit ribosomal RNA", at positions 335 to 604 of the family's 1533-position model. The record is from RNAcentral.